GGCUGGGUACAGUAUACUUUAUUGAUGGUACAAGACAAGGUAGGGCCCCCCAAGCCCCUCCACUUCUGCAAGGGGUCUGAUAUGGAAACUGUUUUAGAGAUCACAAGACUCUCAGUGUAUUGGGGGAUGAGUUAGGGAAGGACAUCUCAGCAGCUAAGGGCCUCUCUCUUCACUUUGCUCUCGCUGAGGCUGGUGGUCUAGGGAGCUCUUACUCCUUGGAGGUCACGUGGACCAUAUGGUCUACUACCUGGUUGCUGUAGCCAAAUUCAUUGUCAUACCAGGAAAUGAGCCUGACACAGUGGUCACUGAGAGCAAUGCCAGCACCAGGAUCAAAGGUGGAAGAGUGGAUGUUGCUCUUAAAGUCACAAGAGACAACCUGGUCCUCAGCAGAGCCCAGCAUGCCCUUGAGGGGGCCUUCUGAUGCCUGCUUCACCACCUUCUUGAUGUCAUUGUAUUGGCAGCUUUCUCCAGGUGGUAAGU
This 480-nucleotide long non-coding RNA is filed under the name Lynx pardinus (Iberian lynx). Lineage: Eukaryota; Metazoa; Chordata; Mammalia; Carnivora; Felidae. The record is from RNAcentral.